UACGGAGGGUGCAAGCGUUAUCCGGAUUUACUGGGUUUAAAGGGUGCGUAGGUGGGUUGGUAAGUCAGUGGUGAAAUACUUUCGCUUAACGAAGGAACUGCCAUUGAUACUACCAGUCUUGAAUACAGUGGAGGUAGGCGGAAUGCGUCAUGUAGCGGUGAAAUGCUUAGAUAUGACGCAGAACACCAAUUGCGAAGGCAGCUUGCCAAACUUGUAUUGACACUGAGGCACGAAAGCGUGGGGAUCAAACAGG
RNAcentral lists this ribosomal RNA (253 nucleotides) under uncultured bacterium. Its description in RNAcentral is "partial 16S ribosomal RNA". It matches the Rfam family "Bacterial small subunit ribosomal RNA", at positions 524 to 776 of the family's 1533-position model. The record is from RNAcentral.